RNAcentral lists this ribosomal RNA (466 nucleotides) under uncultured bacterium. Its description in RNAcentral is "partial 16S ribosomal RNA". It matches the Rfam family "Bacterial small subunit ribosomal RNA", at positions 330 to 792 of the family's 1533-position model. The record is from RNAcentral.
UCCAGACUCCUACGGGAGGCAGCAGUGAGGAAUAUUGGUCAAUGGGCGGAAGCCUGAACCAGCCAAGUCGCGUGAGGGAAGAAGGCCCUGCGGGUCGCAGACCUCUUUGGACGGGGAGCAAGGCCGCCGACGUGUCGGCGGAAGGAGAGUACCCGUAGAACAAGCAUCGGCUAACUACGUGCCAGCAGCCGCGGUAAUACGUAGGGGGCGAGCGUUAUCCGGAAUUACUGGGUGUAAAGGGAGCGUAGACGGCGUGGUAAGCCUGAAGUGGAAGCCCGCGGCCCAACCGCGGAACUGCUUUGGGAGCUGUUUUGCUGGAGUAUGGGAGGGGUAAGCGGAAUUCCUGGUGUAGCGGUGAAAUGCGUAGAUAUCAGGAGGAACACCGGUGGCGAAGGCGGCUUACUGGACCAUAACUGACGUUGAGGCUCGAAAGCGUGGGGAGCGAACAGGAUUAGAUACCCCCGUA